UUACAGAGGUCAGAGAAGAGAAGAGA
RNAcentral lists this non-coding RNA (26 nucleotides) under Homo sapiens (human). Lineage: Eukaryota; Metazoa; Chordata; Mammalia; Primates; Hominidae. The record is from RNAcentral.